This 91-nucleotide transfer RNA is filed under the name Neolewinella marina. RNAcentral describes it as "Lewinella marina tRNA-Ser". It matches the Rfam family "tRNA". Rfam says of the family: Transfer RNA (tRNA) molecules are approximately 80 nucleotides in length. Their secondary structure includes four short double-helical elements and three loops (D, anti-codon, and T loops). Further hydrogen bonds mediate the characteristic L-shaped molecular structure. tRNAs have two regions of fundamental functional importance: the anti-codon, which is responsible for specific mRNA codon recognition, and the 3' end, to which the tRNAs corresponding amino acid is attached (by aminoacyl-tRNA synthetases). tRNAs cope with the degeneracy of the genetic code in two manners: having more than one tRNA (with a specific anti-codon) for a particular amino acid; and 'wobble' base-pairing, i.e. permitting non-standard base-pairing at the 3rd anti-codon position. RNAcentral also lists the same sequence under 2 other names. Lineage: Bacteria; Pseudomonadati; Bacteroidota; Saprospiria; Saprospirales; Lewinellaceae. The record is from RNAcentral.
GGAGACGUGGGUGAGUGGCUGAAACCACCGGUUUGCUAAAUCGACGUACCCUAACAGGGUACCGCGGGUUCGAAUCCCGCCGUCUCCGCCA